CAGCGCCACGAGUGGCAAUCGUAUAUUUGGCCUAAAGCGUCCGUAGCCGGAUUUGUAAAUCUUUUGUGAAAUCGUUGAGCUCAACUUAACGGCGUGCAGAAGACACUGCGAGUCUUGAGACCGGGAGGAGAUAGAGGUAUUCUAGGGGGAGCGGUAAAAUGCUAUAAUCCCUGGAGGACCACCAGUGGCGAAGGCGUCUAUCCAGAACGGAUCUGACGGUGAGGGACGAAAGCCAGGGGAGCGAACCGGAUUAGAGACCCGAGUAGUCC
This 269-nucleotide ribosomal RNA is filed under the name uncultured archaeon. RNAcentral's name for it is "partial 16S ribosomal RNA". It matches the Rfam family "Archaeal small subunit ribosomal RNA", at positions 477 to 747 of the family's 1478-position model. The record is from RNAcentral.